UACGUAGGUGGCAAGCGUUAUCCGGAAUUAUUGGGCUGGUAAAGCGCGCGCAGGCGGUUUCUUAAGUCUGAUGUGAAAGACCCACGGCUCAACCGUGGAGGGUCAUUGGAAACUGGGGAAACUUGAGUGCAGAAGAGAAAAGCGGAAUUCCACGUGUAGCGGUGAAAUGCGUAGAUAAUCAGGAGGAACACCGAGUGGCGAAGGCAGGGUCUCUGGGGCCACUAGCUGACGCUGAGAAGCGAAAGCAUGGGGAGCGAAACAGG
This 263-nucleotide ribosomal RNA is filed under the name uncultured bacterium. Its description in RNAcentral is "partial 16S ribosomal RNA". It matches the Rfam family "Bacterial small subunit ribosomal RNA", at positions 524 to 776 of the family's 1533-position model. The record is from RNAcentral.